AAUAAAUAGUAUGAUCGGCAUGCUCCAACUUCCAGGUUUUGUUAGCAAGAUUAAGCGGUGCGUUUCAAGGUGUAAAGGAACUAAACAACCUAGCGGUCAGAGUGAGAGAGAGAGAGAAUGGCGUUGGAUUCCCUGAAAUGGGGUUACAUACGGAUCAUUAGUGGCACAAUUUUGGGUGGAAUUCUAGGUUUCUACGUUAUGCACCGUGCAGAAGUCAGCUAUAAGGAGAAGAUGAAGGAGAGACUGAAGCAAUAUGAGAAUGAACUCAAGAAGAAAGAGAAGUUGAAUCAGCUUGAAGACUCCUUUUAGUUUUUUUUCUUUUCUUUCUUUGUCCUGUUUGUUUGCUGGGAAUACGUUGGAAAGUGAUGGAACUAUACGUAGUGUUGCAAAUAAAGAAGGAAUCCACCAAGCUGAAGACAACAGGGUAGACAUCAAUUAUGAGAUCCUACAUCAAUUUUUAGCCAGAAACGUGCUGCUGUACUAUAUGAAAAUGUAAACAAGGACAAGGCAAAUGAAGUUUAUUGGCUUGGUUUUUGUAACAAUGUAUUGUGGGAUUCCUUCAGGAUGUACCUUUACAUAAAAAUUGGAAAAUUGGGCUUUAAUUAAGGAACUGUGUGUGGCAGUUUAUUUCUCUUGUUAAUGCAUGCAGCACAUGUUUUUG
Ricinus communis (castor bean) is the source of this 661-nucleotide RNA transcript. RefSeq lists it as uncharacterized. The record is from RefSeq and is a predicted model, not a curated record. The transcript is spliced from 3 exons. Lineage: Eukaryota; Viridiplantae; Streptophyta; Magnoliopsida; Malpighiales; Euphorbiaceae.